This 341-nucleotide ribosomal RNA is filed under the name uncultured bacterium. RNAcentral's name for it is "bacterial SSU rRNA". It matches the Rfam family "Bacterial small subunit ribosomal RNA", at positions 28 to 375 of the family's 1533-position model. The record is from RNAcentral.
GACGAACGCUGGCGGCGUGCUUAACACAUGCAAGUCGAGCGAGGCCCUCCUUCGGGGGUGCCCUAGCGGCGAACGGGUGAGUAACACGUGGGCAACCUGCCCUCAGCUCUGGGAUAACUCCAAGAAAUUGGUGCUAAUACCGGAUGUGACCGCUGACCGCAUGGUCUGGUGGUGAAAGAUUCAUCGGCUGAGGAUGGGCCCGNGGCCUAUCAGCUUGGGUGGGGUCACGGCCACCAAGGCGACGACGGGUAGCCGGCCUGAGAGGGUGACCGGCCACACUGGGACUGAGACACGGCCCAGACUCCUACGGGAGGCAGCAGUGGGGAAUAUUGCGCAAUGGG